Molecule: long non-coding RNA, 296 nt
Filed under: Elaeis guineensis (African oil palm)
Lineage: Eukaryota; Viridiplantae; Streptophyta; Magnoliopsida; Arecales; Arecaceae
Description: long non-coding RNA (EGUI_LNC039521)
Source: RNAcentral
UCAGGGUCAACUCAGGUCUGGCGAUCAGGUUCAGAAGCACCAUCUUUUUGAGCCAAUUUCUAUGUGGAUCACUGUUGGAGGGUAUGCACUUAUAUACCUUAUGGGGAUAAUGAAAAUAGCGAUUGAGGUAUUUAUAAAAUUAUAUGCUUCAUUUUAUCAUAGUUUAUUAAUUUGGUUGAAUGCAUCAAAGGAGAUCUUGGGAUUUAGGGUUUCGAGUAUUCUUGGAUUUCAUAAAUAUUUUUGAAAUCCAACCUUCUGCUAUUUGAUCGAAACCCAACAGUGGUAUUAGAGCCUCU